GAUAUAUGGAGGAACACCAGUGGCGAAGGCGGCUCUGUGGUCUGAAACUGACGCUGAGGCUCGAAAGCGUGGGUAGCAAAACAAGGAUUAGAUACCCUGGUAGUCCACGCCGUAAACGAUGAGUGCUAAAGUGUUGGAGGGUUUCCGCCCUUCAAUGCUGCAGUUAACGCAUUAAAGCACUCCACCUGGGGAAGUACGACCGCAAGGUUGAAACUCAAAGGAAUUGACGGGGGCCCGCACUAUCGGUGGUGCAUGUGGUGUAAUUAGAAGCGACGCGAAGAACCUUGCCAGGUCUUGACAUCCUUUGACCACCGUAGAAAUAGGGUUUCGCCUUCGGGGGCAAAGUGACAGGUGGUGCAUGGUUGUCGUCAGCCUCGUGUGGUGGGAUGUUGGGUUAAGUGCCGCAAGGAGCGCAACCCUUAUUGUUAAUUUCCAGCAUUGAGUUGGGCGCUGUAGCAAGAGUGACGGUGACAAUCCGGUAGAAGGCGGGGAUGACGUCAAAUCAUCAUGCCCCUUAUGACGUGGACUACACAGGGGGGACAACGGGAAGGACGACGAGCAAGUCAAGCGGCAAGACCUAGCGAAUGUGUGAAAGGUGCUCUCAGUUGGGAGUGCAGGCAGCAACUCGCCGGCAUGAAGCAGGACUCCCUAGGAAUAGCGGAUCAGCAUAAGCGAGGUGAAUCUGGUCGACGUUCCUAGAGCCCGCGGCUGCGCACAACCGGAGAGGUAGGGAGCAACCAAAGGCGGUGGGGCAUCCCAGAGCGGAGCCGGUACACAGACA
Molecule: ribosomal RNA, 781 nt
Filed under: uncultured bacterium
Lineage: Bacteria
Description: bacterial SSU rRNA
Rfam family: Bacterial small subunit ribosomal RNA
Source: RNAcentral